This 255-nucleotide ribosomal RNA is filed under the name uncultured bacterium. RNAcentral's name for it is "partial 16S ribosomal RNA". It matches the Rfam family "Bacterial small subunit ribosomal RNA", at positions 524 to 776 of the family's 1533-position model. The record is from RNAcentral.
UACGUAGGGUGCAAGCGUUUAAUCGGAAUUACUGGGCGUAAAGCGUGCGCAGGCGGUUCUAUAAGACAGAUGUGAAAUCCCCGGGCUCAACCUGGGAAUUGCGAUGGAGACUGCAAGGCUAGAAUCUGGCAGAGGGGGGUAGAAUUCCACGGUGUAGCAGUGAAAUGCGUAGAGAUGUGGAGGAACACCGAUGGCGAAGGCAGCCCCCUGGGUCAAGAUUGACGCUCAUGCACGAAAGCGUGGGGAGCAAACAGG